Molecule: ribosomal RNA, 438 nt
Filed under: uncultured bacterium
Lineage: Bacteria
Description: partial 16S ribosomal RNA
Rfam family: Bacterial small subunit ribosomal RNA
Source: RNAcentral
CUACGGGAUGCAGCAGUGAGGAAUAUUGCACAAUGGGGGGAACCCUGAUGCAGCAACGCCGCGUGGAGGAUGACGCAUUUCGGUGUGUAAACUCCUUUUAUAUGUCAAGAAAAUGACGGUAGCAUAUGAAUAAGCACCGGCUAACUCCGUGCCAGCAGCCGCGGUAAUACGGAGGGUGCAAGGUUAAUCGGAAUCACUGGGCGUAAAGGACGCGUAGGCGGGUUGGAAAGUCAGGUGUGAAAUCCUACAGCUUAACUGUAGAACUGCACUUGAAACUUCUAAUCUAGAGUAUGGGAGGGGGAGAUGGAAUUAGUGGUGUAGGGGUAAAGUCCGUAGAUAUCACUAGGAAUACCUAAAGCGAAGGCGAUCUCCUGGAACAUUACUGACGCUAAAGCGUGAAAGCGAGGGGAGCAAACAGGAUUAGAUACCCGGGUAGUC